This 253-nucleotide ribosomal RNA is filed under the name uncultured bacterium. Its description in RNAcentral is "partial 16S ribosomal RNA". It matches the Rfam family "Bacterial small subunit ribosomal RNA", at positions 524 to 776 of the family's 1533-position model. The record is from RNAcentral.
UACGGGGGGGGCAAGCGUUGUUCGGAAUUACUGGGCGUAAAGGGCUCGUAGGCGGCCAACUAAGUCGGAUGUGAAAUCCCCAGGCUUAACCUGGGAACUGCAUCCGAUACUGGAUGGCUUGAAUCCGGGAGAGGGAUGCAGAAUUCCAGGUGUAGCGGUGAAAUGCGUAGAUAUCUUGAGGAAUACCGGUGGCGAAGGCGGCAUCCUGGACCGGCAUUGACGCUGAUGAGCGAAAGCUAGGGGAGCAAACGGG